This 520-nucleotide ribosomal RNA is filed under the name uncultured Glomus. RNAcentral's name for it is "SSU rRNA". It matches the Rfam family "Eukaryotic small subunit ribosomal RNA", at positions 569 to 1082 of the family's 1831-position model. The record is from RNAcentral. Lineage: Eukaryota; Fungi; Glomeromycota; Glomeromycetes; Glomerales; Glomeraceae.
AGCAGCCGCGGUAAUUCCAGCUCCAAUAGCGUAUAUUAAAGUUGUUGCAGUUAAAAAGCUCGUAGUUGAAUUUCGGGGUCAGUAGAUUGGUCGUGCCACUGGUAUGUACUGGUCUUACUGGCUCCUCCUUCCUGAUGAACCGUAAUGCCAUUAAUUUGGUGUUGCGGGGAAACUGGACUGUUACUUUGAAAAAAUUAGAGUGUUUAAAGCAGGCUAACGCUUGAAUACAUUAGCAUGGAAUAAUGAAAUAGGACGUUCGAUCUUAUUUUGUUGGUUUCUAGGAUUGACGUAAUGAUUAAUAGGGAUAGUUGGGGGCAUUAGUAUUCAAUUGUCAGAGGUGAAAUUCUUGGAUUUAUUGAAGACUAACUACUGCGAAAGCAUUUGCCAAGGAUGUUUUCAUUUAAUCUAAGAACGAAAGUUAGGGGAUCGGAAGACGAUCAGAUACCGUCGUAGUCUUUAACCAUAAACCUAUAGCCGACUACGGGAUCGGGAUGAUGUUAAUUUUUAAUGUACUCAUUCG